GACGAACGCUGGCGGCGUGCCUAAUACAUGCAAGUCGAACGCUUCUUUCCUCCCGAGUGCUUGCACUCAAUUGGAAAGCGGAGUGGCGGACGGGUGAGUAACACGUGGGUAACCUACCCAUCAGAGGGGGAUAACACUUGGAAACAGGUGCUAAUACCGCAUAACAGUUUAUGCCGCAUGGCAUAAGAGUGAAAGGCGCUUUCGGGUGUCGCUGAUGGAUGGACCCGCGGUGCAUUAGCUAGUUGGUGAGGUAACGGCUCACCAAGGCCACGAUGCAUAGCCGACCUGAGAGGGUGAUCGGCCACACUGGGACUGAGACACGGCCCAGACUCCUACGGGAGGCAGCAGUAGGGAAUCUUCGGCAAUGGACGAAAGUCUGACCGAGCAACGCCGCGUGAGUGAAGAAGGUGUUCGGAUCGUAAAACUCUGUUGUUAGAGAAGAACAAGGACGUUAGUAACUGAACGUCCCCUGACGGUAUCUAACCAGAAAGCCACGGCUAACUACGUG
Molecule: ribosomal RNA, 508 nt
Filed under: uncultured bacterium
Lineage: Bacteria
Description: partial 16S ribosomal RNA
Rfam family: Bacterial small subunit ribosomal RNA
Source: RNAcentral